Molecule: ribosomal RNA, 254 nt
Filed under: uncultured bacterium
Lineage: Bacteria
Description: partial 16S ribosomal RNA
Rfam family: Bacterial small subunit ribosomal RNA
Source: RNAcentral
UACGUAGGGGGCAAGCGUUGUCCGGAAUCAUUGGGCGUAAAGCGCGUGUAGGCGGCUGAGUAAGUCUGCUCUGGAAAGCCCGGGGCUCAACCCCGGGAGGCGGGUGGAUACUGCUCAGCUCGAGUCCGGAAGAGGAGUGUGGAAUUCCUGGUGUAGCGGUGAAAUGCGCAGAUAUCAGGAGGAACACCAAUGGCGAAGGCAGCACUCUGGGACGGUACUGACGCUGAGACGCGAAAGCGUGGGGAGCAAACAGG